UGUAAAUACUGCAAAUGUAAUUUAGUGGUAUCUUUGUACAUUGUUACUGUUAACACAAUGCUCUCAGGUAAAUAAGUAUUAUUUAACCAGUCAGAGAAGUCUGGAAUUUAAGUUUAAUAGUCUCCUAUAGUGCAAAAAAAAAAAAAAAAAAAAAAGCUUAUAGUGGCAUUCAUUUACAAAUAGUGAGGAUCCCAAAUGCCUUCCUUGAGACCAGGGCAGGAGCAAACUGGAUGUAACGUUUGUUAAAGCAGAAGGAACAGCGCAGCACAGACCCUGGUGAUCCAUUCUCUUUUGGUUACGGGGGAAGAAAACAAAGAUAGAAGAGGAGGGAGAGGGAAAAAAAAAAAAAAAAAAAAAAAAAAGGAAAACUUUUCCAAAUCCAGCAAACUUGUGCUAACUUCUUAUGAAUAUCUGUACAUAAAUGAUAAAAUAAUUGAAUUCAUGUUGUCAGGUCUUUUUUCCAAGUGAUGAAAAAGUGAUUGUACAGAAGCAUGUAGCAAAAACAAGGACGGCUUGGAACGACUAACAGAGCAACGUGAAACAGCUGAGCGACUCUUAGUAGAAACACAGCAGUAACAGCUUCCAUACCUGGCCUCACUGCUCUGAGAUUCUGUCUGGGUCACCCAAGGCUUGUCAAUAUCCACUGGUCAGUUUUGAUAUCAAGCAAUUUGUUGCCAGCUCUUCCACCACAACUGGUGCCAGGAUCUGCCACAGGGCAGCAGCCUGUGUUUUACAGGUACUGCAAUAGCGAGGGGACUGUCCAGCAUGUGCAGGCAGCACCACUGUCAUGAGACCUGAAUUUUUAGGACCAUUUGGAUUAUCGUUGUUAUCCUGUUAGCACCAAGAGAGAACGUGUGGCCGGGGGCGGCGCCGCGGAUUCGCGUCAGACCUAUCGGAGCAGUUGUUUCCGCGGUCUCUGCUGCCACCGCGCGGCCAAUCUGAGGAAGUGCGGCCGCCUAUUUUUUGGCGCCACAAGCAGCAGUACGCAUGCGCACCGCCGUGCCGCGUAUAUGUUCUCGUCGCUCUGCGCAGCUAAUCCGCCAGUCUUCUGUUUAGACCUCCAAGCAGUAGUGCGCAUGCGCCAGAAGACCAAUAGGACGGGUUUCUCCGAGGGUGCACGUGAGUAGUCGAUUCUUGGACAGCUGGCUCAGCGAUGCUCCUCCUGCUUCCAACCCAGGCUCCCCCUUGUCUAUUUCCUUGUGUGAGAAAUGCUUAAAGUCAAAGAUUCCUUGUUAGGUAAAGAUCAUAGUGAUAGCAGCAAAGAUUAUUCAUUAUUGCUAUAACGGGUGGAAAGACUGGAAACUUCCACUGCAAAAACACAAUACACCUCUCACAUGUGUGCAGUCUUGCAGACCCAGAGCAUCCAGGGUUGUUUCUGCUUUUGUAGUAUUUGCAUGCUGCAAGGUGAGCAAAAAGUUUUACUGCUUGAUUGUUUUUCUCCAAGUGCUGGCUACAACUAAAUGGCUGCAAGAAUUGAGGAUGUGAUAGAAAGCAUUUGUCUCCAUGACAACAUAGUUACAUUCAGUCCAAAAAGUGUGAGAGUCAGAUCGAAGUGGCAAAGCAAUGACUUGCUGGAGAUGAUGCAGUACUCAAAUGGUUAA
Long non-coding RNA from Phasianus colchicus (ring-necked pheasant), 1601 nucleotides. The record is from Ensembl. NCBI's taxonomy places the organism in Eukaryota, Metazoa, Chordata, Aves, Galliformes, Phasianidae.